Molecule: ribosomal RNA, 302 nt
Filed under: uncultured Lachnospiraceae bacterium
Lineage: Bacteria; Bacillati; Bacillota; Clostridia; Lachnospirales; Lachnospiraceae
Description: bacterial SSU rRNA
Rfam family: Bacterial small subunit ribosomal RNA
Source: RNAcentral
UGGGGGAAUAUUGCACAAUGGGGGAAACCCUGAUGCAGCGACGCCGCGUGAAGGAAGAAGUAUCUCGGUAUGUAAACUUCUAUCAGCAGGGAAGAUAAUGACGGUACCUGACUAAGAAGCCCCGGCUAACUACGUGCCAGCAGCCGCGGUAAUACGUAGGGGCAAGCGUUAUCCGGAUUUACUGGGUGUAAAGGGAGCGUAGACGGAGUGGCAAGUCUGAUGUGAAAAGGCAUGGGCUCAACCUGUGGACUGCAUUGGAAACUGUCAAUCUUGAGUGCCGGAGGGUAAGCGGAAUUCCUAGU